AACGAACGCUGGCGGCAUGCCUAACACAUGCAAGUCGAACGAGACCUUCGGGUCUAGUGGCGCACGGGUGCGUAACGCGUGGGAACCUGCCCUUAGGUUCGGAAUAACUCCCCGAAAGGGGUGCUAAUACCGGAUAAUGUCUUCGGACCAAAGAUUUAUCGGCUUUGGAUGGGCCCGCGUUGGAUUAGCUAGUUGGUAGGGUAAAAGCCUACCAAGGCGACGAUCCAUAGCUGGUCUGAGAGGAUGAUCAGCCACACUGGGACUGAGACACGGCCCAGACUCCUACGGGAGGCAGCAGUGGGGAAUAUUGGACAAUGGGCGAAAGCCUGAUCCAGCAAUGCCGCGUGAGUGAUGAAGGCCUUAGGGUUGUAAAGCUCUUUUACCCGGGAUGAUAAUGACAGUACCGGGAGAAUAAGCGCCGGCUAACUCCGUG
This 433-nucleotide ribosomal RNA is filed under the name uncultured bacterium. Its description in RNAcentral is "partial 16S ribosomal RNA". It matches the Rfam family "Bacterial small subunit ribosomal RNA", at positions 29 to 507 of the family's 1533-position model. The record is from RNAcentral.